This 471-nucleotide ribosomal RNA is filed under the name uncultured bacterium. RNAcentral's name for it is "partial 16S ribosomal RNA". It matches the Rfam family "Bacterial small subunit ribosomal RNA", at positions 28 to 507 of the family's 1533-position model. The record is from RNAcentral.
GACGAACGCUGGCGGUGUGCUUAACACAUGCAAGUCGAACGAUGAAGCGGUGCUUGCAGGCUGUUUUAGCGGCGACCGGGCGUGUAAUACGUGAGUGACCAGCCAUUGACUCUGGGAUAAGCCCGGGAAAAGGGGCAUACUACAGGAUACGACCAAUCUCUGCAUGGGGCAUUGGUGGAAAGUGUUAAGGUGUGGCGUUAGAUAGGCUCACGGCCAAACAGCUUCGUGGUGAAGUAAAGGCUCAACAAGGCGACGACUGGUAGCCGACAUGAGCGGGUGAACAGACACACUAGGACUGAGACACGGCCCAGACUCCUAUGAGAGACAGCAGUCGAGAAUCUUCCACAAGUAGCGCAAGCGUGAGACGAAGACAUCACGUGAGGAAAGACAUUAUUCGGGUUGUGAACCGCAGUGAGCUUAAAAGACGCGAAAGUGACGGUAGUUGAAGAAAAAGCACCGGCUAACUACGUG